RNAcentral lists this ribosomal RNA (253 nucleotides) under uncultured bacterium. RNAcentral's name for it is "partial 16S ribosomal RNA". It matches the Rfam family "Bacterial small subunit ribosomal RNA", at positions 524 to 776 of the family's 1533-position model. The record is from RNAcentral.
UACAGAGGUCUCAAGCGUUGUUCGGAUUCAUUGGGCGUAAAGGGUGCGUAGGCGGCGCGGUAAGUCGGGUGUGAAAUCUCGGAGCUUAACUCCGAAACUGCAUUCGAUACUGCCGUGCUUGAGGACUGGAGAGGAGACUGGAAUUUACGGUGUAGCGGUGAAAUGCGUAGAUAUCGUAAGGAAGACCAGUGGCGAAGGCGGGUCUCUGGACAGUUCCUGACGCUGAGGCACGAAAGCGUGGGUAGCGAACGGG